UGACCUCUGACCCUCACAUCAGGUAGGACUACCCCG
RNAcentral lists this ribosomal RNA (36 nucleotides) under Ganoderma lucidum. RNAcentral describes it as "partial 28S ribosomal RNA". Lineage: Eukaryota; Fungi; Basidiomycota; Agaricomycetes; Polyporales; Polyporaceae. The record is from RNAcentral.